RNAcentral lists this ribosomal RNA (492 nucleotides) under uncultured bacterium. RNAcentral's name for it is "partial 16S ribosomal RNA". It matches the Rfam family "Bacterial small subunit ribosomal RNA", at positions 28 to 507 of the family's 1533-position model. The record is from RNAcentral.
GAUGAACGCUAGCUACAGGCUUAACACAUGCAAGUCGAGGGGAAACGACAUCGAAAGCUUGCUUUUGAUGGGCGUCGACCGGCGCACGGGUGAGUAACGCGUAUCCAACCUGCCCAUCACUUGGGAAUAACCUUGCGAAAGUAAGACUAAUACCCAAUGAUAUCCCACGAAGGCAUCGGAAUGGGAUUAAAGAUUUAUCGGUGAUGGAUGGGGAUGCGUCUGAUUAGCUUGUUGGCGGGGUAACGGCCCACCAAGGCAACGAUCAGUAGGGGUUCUGAGAGGAAGGUCCCCCACAUUGGAACUGAGACACGGUCCAAACUCCUACGGGAGGCAGCAGUGAGGAAUAUUGGUAAAUGGGCGAGAGCCUGAACCAGCCAAGUAGCGUGCAGGAAGACGGCCCUAUGGGUUGUAAACUGCUUUUAUAAGGGAAUAAAGUGGGUCACGUGUGACUUUUUGCAUGUACCUUAUGAAUAAGGACCGGCUAAUUCCGUG